This 310-nucleotide long non-coding RNA is filed under the name Eucalyptus grandis. Its description in RNAcentral is "long non-coding RNA (EGRA_LNC003487)". Lineage: Eukaryota; Viridiplantae; Streptophyta; Magnoliopsida; Myrtales; Myrtaceae. The record is from RNAcentral.
AGAGAAGACGUAAGACCAGUUCUGCAUUCAAUAGCAGAUAAUUUUUACACAUUUGUAUCCAAACUCGAAAUAUAGAACAGAUACUCAUUUACACGAUUUUGGUGACACCAGAGGGUAAUAAAUCAAACUGUAAAGCCUAAUUAAUGCACCAAUGUCAAACAACGUCAAACUGGAAAGCCUAAUUAAUGCACCAAUGUCAAACAACGUGGACAACAUCAGACUGCAUUGGCAGCACAGGUAUGGAAUGAACUAAUUAAGCUCCUCUUCAGGCAGAUCGUGAAGUUCAGAGAAGCUUUGAUAUAACAUGACA